This 6467-nucleotide long non-coding RNA is filed under the name Nicotiana benthamiana. RNAcentral's name for it is "long non-coding RNA (NBEN_LNC014115)". The record is from RNAcentral. Lineage: Eukaryota; Viridiplantae; Streptophyta; Magnoliopsida; Solanales; Solanaceae.
CAUUUCCAUCGUCACGAAGGCAUUCACCUUUUAAUCCUAUGAAAUGCAUUCGUCGUUCAAGAUUGUAGGAUUUUGCAGUUGGUGAUACUAAGUAGCUUGCUGAGUAAAGAGAAAAAUGACAUGGGAUUAUCAAGAGAACACAAACAUGAGAAUGCAAUGGAAAGAUAAUGAUAAUGACUCUUAUCAGGAAUAAAGUUAAUUCUCAGGAAUUCAGAGGUUCAUUAUUUAAAAUCGGCUAAACAGUAACCUAAUUUUGGAUAGAGUUUGAUAUGUAAAGACAAAUUUACCAACUUUUACUUUGUCUCAGCUUGUCAUGUUCAUUUAUUGCAUUUACUGAUUGUACAGAAUUUCUUACUUUGCUGAUGUAGAAUAUAAGAUACGCUAAUCCUGGGUUUGUCUUUGCAUUAAAGCGCUUUUGCCUACUGUAUAUCAUGCGUUAUGAUUAUACUGAAUUAAGUAUGGACAAAGUGACAUGAAUAUACUAGUUGGUUAAUUUGGAUUUGGUUGCAUGGAUUUGACUCUUUAUAAGUAAAACGACAUGAACAGAGAACUGUUAUAAUUAUCAUCAAGUUCUUUGCGCUAAACAAGAGACAGUUUGAAGGUAAGCCUUGAUAUAACCGGUAAAGUUGUUGUUAUUUUUUGUCACAAGUUCGAGCCAUGGAAACAGUUUUUUGCAGAAAUACAGGCUAAGAUUGUGUACAAUAGACCUUUGUGGUCCGGCUCUUUUCCGAACCCUACGCGUAGAGAAGCUUAAUGCAUCGGGUUGCCAUCUUAUGUGAGCCUGCUCAAAUUGUUGGUUCCAGACUCGGUCAACUUAAAUAAAACGAGUUAGUACUUUGGGUGUCUUUGGUACGAAGGAAAACAUAUGUUUUUCAAUUUUUCCAUGUUUGAUUGGCUUAAAUGUUUUGAAAAAUAUUUUCCUUAUGAAUUCAUUUUCCUCCAAUUGGAUGAAAAUAUUUUUCUUAUCAAGGAAAAGGAAACAUUUUUCAAAACACCUUCUCAACAUUUCCCACCCUCACCAACUCACGCCACCCCCUCUUUUAAAAAAAGGCUUUUUUGUUCUUCAAAUUUCCGUUACCACCCACCCUACUACCCCUCUAACCCACUCCACCCCCAACCCUUACUCCCGCAAAUUCUUUUUACCUUUUUUUUUUGCAAUUUAAAAUUUUUAUUUUUUCGUUUUUCUGCGCGGCCCUCCCGGAAAAAAAUGUAUUUUAAAUAUAUUUUUGAGUUUUAUUUUUUUUUAUUUAUCGGUUUAAAGUUUCAAAAUUUUACAAGUUUCAUAAUUAUGAGUUCGGAAGUUUAUGUGUUUGGAAGUUUAUGGGUUUGAAAUUCCGCAGUUCGAAAGUUUAUAAAAUUUGUGGGUUCGGAAGGUUGUUAGUUUGAAAGUUAUUUAUAAAUAGUCUUGAGAAAUUAAAUUUCUUAAUUUGUCUACCAAACACCGAAAAAUAAAUAAAAUUACCAUUUAUUUUUCUGAAAAAUAUUUUCCAUUAUACUAAACACACCCUUCGUCAUUUCUCAGUUUCUCACUAUACAAAAAUGGCUUCAAAGUAUAGGUGCAUUCAUGAUUCAUGUGGUGCCCAAUAACAAGUAGCUAAGGUGUCUUUUGGUACGAUGGCGAAAUGGACAAGGAUAUCCUAUAGGAUAUGAUGCUUCGUGGGAUUAACUAUCUCACCUUUUAUAAGGGGUAGAUAAUUUCAUUAUUUUAGUAAAAAAGUUAUUUUGUAAUUAGCUAAUAACCAAAUGCAAGAUAAAUACAAUUUUACAUUGGCAGAAUAGCUUAAAUGGCAUCUAUACGUGUGUCACUUUGUCAUAACGAUCCCCAAACUUAACAAUUUGCCAAUUGAACACUUACACUCCUUUAAAUCGUGUAUAAUAAAUACUUAUGGCAUGAGGCUACAGUGCGUGUAAUACAAUCUCCUCCACGUUGGCUGUCAUGUCAAAAAAUAACAAUAUUUAAAUGCCAUGUCACAUGGUAGAUUAAAAAUAAUUAAAAUUAAAAAAUAAAAUUCAAACGUUAGUCCUUUCAAAAAUUAGCGCACGUAAAGAAUCCCUUUCAAUUUCCUGUCGUUGGCGCCGGCGAAGAGCCCCAAACGGAAGAACAGCUCUGAACAACUUACUUUCAAUUUCACUCUUUAUGUUGUUAAAGAACAGCUACUUUGCUAUUUGUGCAAUAGAGAUUCAAAAACAAGACUUCAAAAUCAAAUACUCAAAUCAAGAAAGUAAAGUUUUGUGUAUUUAAAUUGACACAAACCAGUGCGAGGAAAGCUACAGAUUUGAAAAUUUCAAACUUAGCUUUGUGUUGCAGCUGAAAUCUCGCUCAAAACCAGACUAAAUCUUCUUCAAAUCACCUCAAAUUCGAGAUAUUAACUCCCAAAGGUAUCCUUAAUUAUUUGUCAAAAUACCCAAUCGAACCCGAAUCCAAUUUCGUAAACCCGAAAUUUUAAACUCAAGCUUCGAGCUCCUUUAGUGGAGUCUUAAGCUCUCUCUUUUGUACUGGGAACCUUUUUUGGGAGGAGGGGAAUGUAGGAUGCUUGGAUUUGAUUGUAAGUGAAGGGACGGAGGCAGCAACGGUGGUGGUUACGGUGGCUGGAGUGAGCCAGCGAUGUGAACGGUGGACGGGAAGUGCGAGACCAGGAGCGGCGAUGGACGCCAUUGUACAAGAUAAUGGAGAGUGAUGUGUAAGAAUAUUUUUUUUCAUUUUUUGUUAUUUUUUAAUUGAAAUCAUCAAAGUUACUCGAUUUUUAGAGUAUGCAAUCACGUAUACCAAGCUCAGCAAUGCAUAUGUCACAUAUGCUUGGUCAACGGUCAUAGGCGUUUAAAGUGAUGUAUUUUAAAAACUACGAGUGUCCAGAUGAAACUUCGUAGAGUAUCAGGACCGGAAUGACAAAGCGGGACAAAUAAAAGUGUUUAUUAGGCUAUUCAGCCUUUUUUUUUAAUUCUAUGGUUAUCCUUGUACCAAACGAUCCCUUAUCUUAUUCGUGCAAUAUAUUAAGUAGGAAGCAAAAAAAUUCUUUCCAUCAAGAGUAAAGGAAAUUAUAUUUUUCCAAAAUAAAAAGAAAUUUUUGAAAUGGCUAAAUUGGCGGUAUGAUUAGACCUCGCCCAAUAAGAAACUAGUUCCGUACACUAUUCAAGAAAUGCAGAAGCUAAUAUUGGGGCGGGUAGCAGGUGGUAGGGUGUGCGAGACUGAAGUGGUAUUCCAACGGUCGAUUCUGCUCUCUCUACUAUCUAUAUAAGAAAUGUCUCUUUGUUAAAUCUUCUCUAUCUUUUUCAAUCGCUUGUAACAUUCAGAAUUCCUUUGUUUUUUUCCCUCAAAAACUCAAAAAGAUCUAGAACCAGAAAGGCCCAAAAAUGGUGAUGUUGAAGGUCAAAUAUGAGGAGUUACGCCAACAGCGAUUGGAAGAAAACAAGAAAAGAAUGGAGGAACUCAAUCUCCCUCUGCUUACUCAAGCUCUCAAACUUUCCUCUUCCCCCAAACCUUCUCCUGUACGUUUUUAUUCUUCUUCUUUUCUCCUUUUCGCUAUAUUUUCCCAAAUGAUUAACCCACUUUUCUCUUUUUGGUUUUUUGUCUAUUUUUUUCGGAAUUAAUAGAUGAAGAAGGUGAAACCUAGGAUUAUCAGAACAGAGCUUGUUUCAGUUCGUAGAUCACCUCGUGUUGCUAACAAACCUGUCCCUGAAUACAAAGAAGUAUAUUUUGUUCUUUUUUCCCCAUUUGAGUCCGAAAUACAUGACUUUCUGGCUAUAUUUGAAUUGCAUUUUACUAAAAUUUAUUUACUCAUUUUUGGAGCACAGGUGAUUUAUUAUGAAAGGGUGAUGAUACCUAGAAGGUAACACUUUAUUUUAGUUUGUAAAAGGCAUUCAUUUUACCCAUUUGCUGCAGGUGAAAAUGAAAAGGCUAACAUAUGAAUAUGUCGUGUAAUGCGUUCAAUGUUUGUUUGUUUAGGAUGUCCACUCCAAGAAAGAGGGAUUUGUCGAAUAUGGUAUAUGCUACGGACGAAGAAAGGGCUGCUUCGAUAGAGAAAGCAGAGAAACUUGAAGCAAGUCUUGGACCGGGCUAUCCUAUAUUAAUUAGAUCAAUGCUUCCCUCCCAUGUUUCUGGAGGUUUUUGGCUGGUCAGUUUUAGCCUCUUAUGGUUUUAUACACCGGCAUUUAUUCUAAGUUAUCAAUCAAUGUUUAUUAAAUAGAGUUGCCUGCAAUUAUUUUUUAUGUGGUGUAACUGUGUUAAUAUUUUUCGCUUAAAUUUUGUCACUGUUGACUCUGUGGGCAGGUAAGUAACUUAAAAUUUAGGUCAUCGCAUAGGAUAACUUAAGGAUUAGGAAAUCAGUUGUAUUAACUGCUCAUUCAAUGAAAAAUGCUGCACCUAAUUUACAAACUUUAUAGGAACCAACAUUCAGAGUGCGAAGCUAAAAGUGGAAUUAUUGUUCAGUUCUGAAAUGAAAUAGGUCCAAAUAAGGUGGAAAAAUACAAAGGAUCCAUAUAGCCAACCCAACUAGUUUGGGAUUGCGGCGUAGUUGAUUGAUGUAUUGAUUCAUAGAAGUGUUGUCUUCGCCCAAAUUUUUUAUACAGUAGAUUAUAUAGUCCUCUUUGGAGAUCGAUAAGUUUACAUUUCCAAAGAGUGUAAAUUAUGGGCCAAAAGAGACUUUCACACUUACCUAGUAUACUGCAAAAAGAUUUUUAACUUCUAUACACUUCAGUGUAAAAGUAUUCUUACUGUCCAUAAUAAGUGGAACUAGUUACUUAAAAAAUAAAGCAGUCAACUUGCUACAGGUAAGUGGAUGCUAUAGCUCACAUAAUGAGUUUUGCAUAUCUUGUGAGGGUUUUGAUUCCUUUUAUUUAGUUAUGGUUAGGUUUUCAAUACUAAACUGUUAUGCAAUUACGAUAAUCAAAUCAAUUAGAAUGAACAAGGAGGAUGCUAACUCAUUUACAACUCAUGAAUGCAGGGUCUACCGUCUAAUUUCUGCAGGAAGAAUCUUCCAAGAAGAGAUGAUACUAUCACCUUAAUAGAUGAAACAGGAGGUGAGUGGCCAACGGUGUACUUGGCGCAAAAGAACGGACUAAGUGGCGGAUGGAAGAAGUUCGCUGUGGAUCAUGACUUGGCCGAUGGAGAUGCAAUUGUGUUCCAUUUGAUACGCCCUACAAAAUUUAAGGUGACACUGCUGAAUAUUAAGGAUGUUUGUAAGUUUGUCAGUGAGCAUCUUUAGCUCAAAUUUCACGUUCAACACCCUAUGUUCCAGAAAGUUGAGAGAUGCAACAUUGUCUAGAUAAUACAUAUGUUCUUUCUAAUUACGCCUCUCGUUGGCAUGAGUACAAUGAAAGAACAGAUUAUUCAGGGGAAGCAAGUUGAAGUUCUGAACUAUAUCUCUUUCCUUUCUCUAUAGGUGUAUAUCAUAAGGGUAAACAAUGUCAGUGAGAGUGAAAGUACUGAAACCUCCACAAAAUAGGUAUAUAUCUACAAAGCUCUCGAUAUCCAGGUACAAGGACUAUAAAGAAUCUUUUAAGACUUUCUUUUUUAGUUUGCAGUAAUAUUUUCAGAAUAUAGUGUAUGGUAAAUAUUGAUAUGACAAAUGACUAUAUAAUUUAUCAUUCUCAAGCUGCAGACUCUUUAAACUAACUAGUUAAUUCAUAUUUGGAAUCUUUUCCAUAUGUAAACUUCUAAGACAUUAGUUUAUAAUCAAAGUGGCAAUGAAAGAAGGAAGCUUUCCAUUGAAUUAAAGUCAUGUACAUGUGUUUUACACUUACUAUCUACAGGACUUGAAAAUUCUGAAACUUGCUACUUACUUUUAGGAAGUUGUCAUUCGUCCAAGUCAAUAAUGAACUUCUGCAAUUGGUUUAUUUGAUCUGAAGCCACAUUUUCAGGGGAAAAGGCAUAUAUUAAGUACAUCAUUUAUACAAUAGUCUAAUGGACAGAUUUAUUGAUGUUCUCAUAUGUUGAAGUAUGACUUUUCAUCUUAUUCAUAAUUUUUAAAGAUACAACUUGCAAAUGUUGACAUGUUGUGUUAUAGUCUGCAGACAACUGUAAUUCCAGCUAGCUGCUUGAACAAAAUAUGCCACAUAUUAGCAACUAGUUAAAUGGCAGUGCUCUAAGCUUCUGCUAUGCAUGGGUCCGGGAAGGACCAGACCAAAAAGUGUCACUUUAGCCCAUGAACUGUAGAUGUAUCUGUAAGUUCCAGCUAGCUGCUUGAACAAAAUAUGCUACAUAUUAGCAACUAGUUAAACGGCAGUGCUCUAAGCUUCUGCUAUGCAUGGGUCCGGGAAGGACCAGACCAAAAAGUGUCACUUUAGCCCAUGAACUGUAGAUGUAUCUGUAAGUUGGAGAUAGGAAACAUGAACUCACAUAUAUAUGCUACUAGAGAUUAUUCAACAACAUAUUGUGUUAAUGAACUUCUGCAAUUGGUUUAUUUGAUCUGAAGCCAGAUUUUCAGGGGAAAAGGCAUAUAUUAAGUACAUCAUUUAUACAAUAGUCUAAU